Long non-coding RNA from Salvia splendens (bonfire salvia), 560 nucleotides. RefSeq lists it as uncharacterized. The transcript is spliced from 3 exons. NCBI's taxonomy places the organism in Eukaryota, Viridiplantae, Streptophyta, Magnoliopsida, Lamiales, Lamiaceae. The record is from RefSeq and is a predicted model, not a curated record.
UUUCAAUUUCAUCUAAUUAGCCGCUAAAAACCUCCGCCCUUCGUCUCUCUCUGCGCUAAAACUUCCACCGCCCCUCUCCGCUUCACCGCCGCUCUCUCUCCGAUUCGCCGCCACCUCUCAUCGGCUGCACACCUGCAGGAGCAUGAAGAACGACUUCGACUUCAAUUUCUCUGAGCUGAAUUUUCCGCUCCACGCCGAUACUCACGUCGACGCGCCUGGCCAUUUCUACGAGAACUACUUCGAACAAGGCUUUGAUGCCGAUACCCUUGACCUCAUAGUACUCAAUGGUCCUGAAUUGCUCGUAGAUGUUCUCAGAGACGAGAAUAUUACUGGUAUGUGUGCUUGGAAUGGAUGAUCAGUUUGAGUAGAUGUCCUUGUUUUCUGAUUCUUUAAUCUCGUUUUUCCUCUCGUUGGUUUUCUCUGUUCCUGCUGAAGUUAUGACGUCCUUGAACAUUCCCAAAGGUGUGAGAAGAGUAUUUUUCUGAACACUAAAUACUGAGGCCACGUUUGGUUGGCGGGAAAGUAAAGUUGGCAAGGAAAAUGAUUCCUGCGAAAAUGAA